This 468-nucleotide ribosomal RNA is filed under the name uncultured bacterium. RNAcentral's name for it is "partial 16S ribosomal RNA". It matches the Rfam family "Bacterial small subunit ribosomal RNA", at positions 28 to 507 of the family's 1533-position model. The record is from RNAcentral.
GACGAACGCUGGCGGCGUGCUUAACACAUGCAAGUCGAACGGAAAGGCCCUGCUUUUGUGGGGUGCUCGAGUGGCGAACGGGUGAGUAACACGUGAGUAACCUGCCCUUGACUUUGGGAUAACUUCAGGAAACUGGGGCUAAUACCGGAUAGGAGCUCCUGCUGCAUGGUGGGGGUUGGAAAGUUUCGGCGGUUGGGGAUGGACUCGCGGCUUAUCAGCUUGUUGGUGGGGUAGUGGCUUACCAAGGCUUUGACGGGUAGCCGGCCUGAGAGGGUGACCGGCCACAUUGGGCCUGAGAUACGGACCAGACGCCUACGGGAGGCAGCAGUGGGGAAUAUUGCACAAUGGGCGGAAGCCUGAUGCAGCAACGCCGCGUGCGGGAUGACGGCCUUCGGGUUGUAAACCGCUUUCGCCUGUGACGAAGCGUGAGUGACGGUAAUGGGUAAAGAAGCACCGGCUAACUACGUG